GUCUGCAUGGAGCCGACCUUGAAAUACCACCCUUUAAUGUUUGAUGUUCUAACGUGGACCCGUAAUCCGGGUUGCGGACAGUGUCUGGUGGGUAGUUUGACUGGGGCGGUCUCCUCCUAAAGAGUAACGGAGGAGCACGAAGGUUGGCUAAUCCUGGUCGGACAUCAGGAGGUUAGUGCAAUGGCAUAAGCCAGCUUGACUGCGAGCGUGACGGCGCGAGCAGGUGCGAAAGCAGGUCAUAGUGAUCCGGUGGUUCUGAAUGGAAGGGCCAUCGCUCAACGGAUAAAAGGUACUCCGGGGAUAACAGGCUGAUACCGCCCAAGAGUUCAUAUCGACGGCGGUGUUUGGCACCUCGAUGUCGGCUCAUCACAUCCUGGGGCUGAAGUAGGUCCCAAGGGUAUGGCUGUUCGCCAUUUAAAGUGGUACGCGAGCUGGGUUUAGAACGUCGUGAGACAGUUCGGUCCCUAUCUGCCGUGGGCGCUGGAGAACUGAGGGGGGCUGCUCCUAGUACGAGAGGACCGGAGUGGACGCAUCACUGGUGUUCGGGUUGUCAUGCCAAUGGCACUGCCCGGUAGCUAAAUGCGGAAGAGAUAAGUGCUGAAAGCAUCUAAGCACGAAACUUGCCCCGAGAUGAGUUCUCCCUGAGACUUAGA
This 653-nucleotide ribosomal RNA is filed under the name Salmonella enterica subsp. enterica serovar Newport. RNAcentral describes it as "partial 23S ribosomal RNA". It matches the Rfam family "Bacterial large subunit ribosomal RNA", at positions 2174 to 2824 of the family's 2925-position model. Lineage: Bacteria; Pseudomonadati; Pseudomonadota; Gammaproteobacteria; Enterobacterales; Enterobacteriaceae. The record is from RNAcentral.